GACGAACGCUGGCGGCGUGCUUAACACAUGCAAGUCGAACGGAAAGGCCCUGCUUUUGUGGGGUGCUCGAGUGGCGAACGGGUGAGUAACACGUGAGUAACCUGCCCUUGACUCUGGGAUAACUUCAGGAAACUGGGGCUAAUACCGGAUAGGAGCUCCUGCUGCAUGGUGGGGGUUGGAAAGUUUCGGCGGUUGGGGAUGGACUCGCGGCUUAUCAGCUUGUUGGUGGGGUAGUGGCUUACCAAGGCUUUGACGGGUAGCCGGCCUGAGAGGGUGACCGGCCACAUUGGGACUGAGAUACGGCCCAGACUCCUACGGGAGGCAGCAGUGGGGAAUAUUGCACAAUGGGCGGAAGCCUGAUGCAGCAACGCCGCGUGCGGGAUGACGGCCUUCGGGUUGUAAACCGCUUUCGCCUGUGACGAAGCGUGAGUGACGGUAAUGGGUAAAGAAGCACCGGCUAACUACGUGCCAGCAGCCGCGGUGAUACGUAGGGUGCGAGCGUUGUCCGGAUUUAUUGGGCGUAAAGGGCUCGUGGGUGGUUGAUCGCGUCGGAAGUGUAAUCUUGGGGCUUAACCCUGAGCGUGCUUUCGAUACGGGUUGACUUGAGGAAGGUAGGGGAGAAUGGAAUUCCUGGUGGAGCGGUGGAAUGCGCAGAUAUCAGGAGGAACACCAGUGGCGAAGGCGGUUCUCUGGGCCUUUCCUGACGCUGAGGAGCGAAAGCGUGGGGAGCGAACAGGCUUAGAUACCCUGGUAGUCCACGCUGUAAACGGUGGGUACUAGGUGUGGGGUCCAUUCCACGGGUUCCGUGCCGUAGCUAACGCUUUAAGUACCCCGCCUGGGGAGUACGGCCGCAAGGCUAAAACUCAAAGGAAUUGACGGGGCCCCGCACAAGCGGCGGAGCAUGCGGAUUAAUUCGAUGCAACGCGUAGAACCUUACCUGGGUUUGACAUGGAUCGGGAGUGCUCAGAGAUGGGUGUGCCUCUUUUGGGGUCGGUUCACAGGUGGUGCAUGGCUGUCGUCAGCUCGUGUCGUGAGAUGUUGGGUUAAGUCCCGCAACGAGCGCAACCCUUGUUCACUGUUGCCAGCACGUUAUGGUGGGGACUCAGUGGAGACCGCCGGGGUCAACUCGGAGGAAGGUGGGGAUGACGUCAAGUCAUCAUGCCCCUUAUGUCCAGGGCUUCACGCAUGCUACAAUGGCUGGUACAGAGAGUGGCGAGCCUGUGAGGGUGAGCGAAUCUCGGAAAGCCGGUCUCAGUUCGGAUUGGGGUCUGCAACUCGACCUCAUGAAGUCGGAGUCGCUAGUAAUCGCAGAUCAGCAACGCUGCGGUGAAUACGUUCCCGGGGCU
Molecule: ribosomal RNA, 1346 nt
Filed under: uncultured bacterium
Lineage: Bacteria
Description: partial 16S ribosomal RNA
Rfam family: Bacterial small subunit ribosomal RNA
Source: RNAcentral